UACGGAGGAUCCACGCGAUAUCCGGAAUCCUUGGGCUUAAAGGGUCCGUAGGCGGGAUAAUAAGUCAGUGGUGAAAGUCUGCAGCUCAACUGUAGAACCGCAAUUGAUACUGUUAUCCUUGAGUAAUUAUGAAGUGGUUAGAAUAUGUAGUGUAGCGGUGAAAUGCAUAGAUAUUACAUAGAAUACCGAUUGCGAAGGCAGAUCACUAAUAAUUCACUGACGCUGAUGGACGAAAGCGUAGGUAGCGAACAGG
RNAcentral lists this unclassified non-coding RNA (253 nucleotides) under uncultured Flavobacteriaceae bacterium. Its description in RNAcentral is "contains 16S-23S intergenic spacer region". It matches the Rfam family "Bacterial small subunit ribosomal RNA", at positions 524 to 776 of the family's 1533-position model. The record is from RNAcentral. Lineage: Bacteria; Pseudomonadati; Bacteroidota; Flavobacteriia; Flavobacteriales; Flavobacteriaceae.